This 621-nucleotide small RNA is filed under the name Pan troglodytes (chimpanzee). RNAcentral's name for it is "retained intron". The record is from RNAcentral. Lineage: Eukaryota; Metazoa; Chordata; Mammalia; Primates; Hominidae.
AGCCAUCUGCAGACUCAGGCCUGGUCUCUACCCCCAGAAUUCAACAGCAAGUUGGAGUCCUCUCAUCUUUCAGAAUCACUUGCUUUUCCUUCUGAACCUUGGCGAAAUGUAUACAGACUGAGGAUGGAAAAUGGUUCACCCCCAUGGAAUUUGAAAUCAAAGGAGGCUACGCAAGAUCAAAGAACUGGAGGCUGAGUGUGCGCUGUGGCGAGUGGCCCCUACGACGGCUGAUGGAGGAAGGAUCUCUACCUAAUCCUCCAAGAAUAUAUUACAGGAACAGAAAGAGAAUACUGAAGUCUCAAAACAAUAGCUCAGUUGACCCUUGUAUGAGAAACUUGGAUGAGUGUGAGGUGUGCCGGGAUGGAGGGGAGCUGUUCUGUUGCGACACUUGUUCAAGAGUCUUCCAUGAGGACUGUCACAUCCCACCUGUGGAAGCUGAGAGAUGGGGAAGGAGCAGGUUCAUCGGGUACUGGGACCCAGCAGUGUGAUCCAGAGAGCAGUGGGAGACGCUGGCAGCAGGAGGACCCCGUGGAAUUGCAUCUUCUGCAGGAUGAAGGAGUCUCCGGGAAGCCAACAGUGUUGUCAGGAAUCUGAGGUCCUGGAGAGGCAGAUGUGUCCUGA